GACGGGUUGCAUUGCAUUAUUCCCUCCCUUUCCAGCCGCCGACCCACGCACGCGCGCUCCCCUGCGCCAUGGACGCCGUCGCGUUCCCGCUGCCCCCCGCGCCCUUCCUCGACGACGACUUCGAUUUCGGCGACUUCACCUUCGCCUCUGCGCCCGCGUCGCAGCCGCCCCUCGUCGAUCCCCGGCCGCCCGCCUUCGCGGCCUUUGACGACGACUUGGGCGAUUUCGUGGCGAGCCCGCUCGGAUCCAACGCGGACGCCUCUGCGCCGCCCACCCCUCCGACGGCCACGUCCGCCGCCGCUCCCUCGUCCUGGGAGAAGCCGCGGGGCCCGCUUCCUCUCUCCCUGUUCGGCGCCGACGACGACCAGGAGGAUGGGCGGGAGGAGGAAGGACCAGCCGAGCCGCAGCCGCCGGCGGCCACAGCGCACCAGCGCGCCGCGUCCUUCACCGCCGAAGGAUCGAGGCCAGCGGAUCUGAAGGACCUCAUCGCCGGUCUCUACGGAUCUCAGCCUCCCACCGCCUCCGUCGAUGCGGAUGCGGGCCCGCAAGAGGAUGGCGAAGGGUUCGGAGACGAUGAUUGGGAAUUCACGGCGGCGACGGCGGAACCUGCCGAUCAGGAUGGAGGCGGACGAGCGCCUGGGGAUGGGAUUCGAAAAAUUGAGAAUGCAAACUUGAAGGGCGGGCCUACUGGCUAUAUGAGCAACCUGGUUGUUGGGAUAACAGAUAAAGAUUAUUAUUCUUUACAUGUUGCAAAUUUUAAGCUAGAAGCCGGCCUACUUCAGAAAAUCUCUGAGCUAAUCUUGUUGGUAUUGCAACACCUCAAUCAUAUCCAAAAGAGGUGAAUGUUCGAGUGUGAAGCUCUGAGCGAAAGUCUGGAACACCAUUCAGACAAAUGGAUGUAACAAAACCAGUGAGUAAUGAUGAGGAAGACUGGUCAUCGAUUGCCAGUGUUGAUGAAAAAUUGAACCAUGUUCGUCAAACUACUGAUAAUAUUGGGACUAAUGAGUCCACAGGAGAAUGUGUAAAUGCUUCCAGUUGCUCUCCAGCUAAUAAUUCAGCCAUACUCAACCUGUACAAAGAAAGGGAAUGGGUUGACACUAUUCACAUUGCGCAGAGCUCUGCAGAAAGUUUGCAGAGUUCAUCGGAUUUGUUUUCUAAUAAUGAAAUGGUGACCAUUCAUUCUAUUUAAGUUUAAGUUAUUCACUGAUCCAGUUUUAUUUUAUUUUUCUUUUGAUGUGCACUAAUGAUCAGUGAUCAGAACUCUUCAUUUAAAAUAGAUGAAAGCCAUUCCAGUGGAUCAACAAGUGAUUGCAAUUUGAUUGAAUUUUACCAUAGGCUGAGAGAAGAGUCCUUGACAGUAAUGUCUCAGCAUGUGAAGGAUCUUAAGGAAGCACAGAAGGUUUCUACACCCUCUGAUGGAAACAGGAAAGCAACAGCAAUUGGAAAGGAGAUUCAGGAAAUAUAUGAUAAACUAAAAGAUUCUUCUCUGCCCAAUGGCUUCUGCGCAAAGGAACAUCCUUUGAGGGAUGUAUGUAUCACAGAACUGAUUAACUGUAUCAAAGAGGAACAACUGAAGGAUUUUCAACAAGAGUAUUGUUUAGCAGAAAAGAUAGCACUGGCAAUGGACGACACGAGUGUGGCAAUUGAACUUUACAAGCACAGUGUUUCCACCCUUCAUACAUUGGAACUAGCAUCAAAAGAGGAACAACGUGAUUAUGUUGGUGCAUGGUACCGUAUGCUUCUGCCCAGUGCCCAUGAAUUGCAGCAUGGUGCAGCACUUUGGCAAGAAUCCUGUCAUGCAAAUGUCUGUGACCAAGUGAUUUCUCAAGGUGGUGACUACUUUAUUGCUCUUGGGGAGAUAUAUAGAGUUGCUCGGAUUUUAUAUUUAUCCUUGCAGUGUUUCAAGCCCUGGGUUCUUGCAGAUCCUGGAAUGUUGAGUAAAAUAAUGGCUUGUUUGGACAGAUGCAGUGAUGCUUGGACUAGUUGUUUAGAAACGGCUCUUAAAAGGGUCAUUGACAGUAAUCGCUUAGAUGCAUCUGUGGCUAAAGCACUUGUGGACUCCAUCAACAAUAUUAAAGAACUUGAAUUGCCCAGUCUACAAAAUUUUCUUCCCUCCAACGAGAUGACAUGUAGACUAAGUCUCCUGCCACCCAGUGUUUUACCAGGAAUGAAGUUGAUCAUGUGGAAUGGAGAUCACUAUUUUAUUAAAGUUGCAAAUUUCUGGGCAAAUCGGAUAUCUUCUUAUCCUCCCCAGCUGUCACACACUCCUAUCUUUAAGGAACAACGUGGCAACACUUGACCAUCAUACUGAUUAACCUGUCAAACUAGUGACCUAAUCUGAUGGAAGCAUCAGAAGCUUUUGUAGUAAAAUUUGUUCAUUAAGUUGCCCUGGGCACAGAAGAAUGAGAAAGUGCCUUGCCAACCUCAAGGCUGUACUGGUUAUUUUCUUGUACAAAUUGUAUUUUCUUUACACUAUUCUUUCCAUAGCGCCUGAUAAUGGCACUAGUAUAACAAGUUCAAACGAUAUGUGGAGUUUCAGAUGUUGUGUAAACACAUUUAAAAUUGUAGAAUUUGGAAUGUAAAGAGAGGAAGUUGCGUGUUUAUUGUGAA
Panicum virgatum (switchgrass) is the source of this 2610-nucleotide RNA transcript. RefSeq lists it as uncharacterized. Lineage: Eukaryota; Viridiplantae; Streptophyta; Magnoliopsida; Poales; Poaceae. The record is from RefSeq and is a predicted model, not a curated record. The transcript is spliced from 9 exons.